RNAcentral lists this ribosomal RNA (944 nucleotides) under uncultured beta proteobacterium. RNAcentral describes it as "bacterial SSU rRNA". It matches the Rfam family "Bacterial small subunit ribosomal RNA", at positions 58 to 998 of the family's 1533-position model. The record is from RNAcentral. Lineage: Bacteria; Pseudomonadati; Pseudomonadota; Betaproteobacteria.
CAAGUCGAGCGGCAGCGCGGGGCAACCUGGCGGCGAGCGGCGAACGGGUGAGUAAUGCAUCGGAACGUGUCCAUGUCGUGGGGGAUAGCCCGGCGAAAGCCGGAUUAAUACCGCAUACGCCCGAGAGGGGAAAGUGGGGGACCGCAAGGCCUCACGCGAUUGGAUCGGCCGAUGUCCGAUUAGCUAGUUGGCGGGGUAAAGGCCCACCAAGGCGAUGAUCGGUAGCUGGUCUGAGAGGAUGAUCAGCCACACUGGGACUGAGACACGGCCCAGACUCCUACGGGAGGCAGCAGUGGGGAAUUUUGGACAAUGGGGGCAACCCUGAUCCAGCCAUUCCGCGUGAGUGAAGAAGGCCUUCGGGUUGUAAAGCUCUUUUGUCCGGAACGAAACGGGUAGCGUGAAUAUCGCUGCCUACUGACGGUACCGGAAGAAUAAGCACCGGCUAACUACGUGCCAGCAGCCGCGGUAAUACGUAGGGUGCGAGCGUUAAUCGGAAUUACUGGGCGUAAAGCGUGCGCAGGCGGUUUUGCAAGCCGGAUGUGAAAUCCCCGGGCUUAACCUGGGAAUGGCAUUUGGGACUGCAAGGCUGGAGUGCGGCAGAGGAGACUGGAAUUCCUGGUGUAGCAGUGAAAUGCGUAGAUAUCAGGAGGAACACCUAUGGCGAAGGCAGGUCUCUGGGCUGACACUGACGCUCAUGCACGAAAGCGUGGGGAGCAAACAGGAUUAGAUACCCUGGUAGUCCACGCCCUAAACGAUGUCGACUGGUUGUUGGGGGUUUGACACUCUCAGUAACGAAGCUAACGCGUGAAGUCGACCGCCUGGGGAGUACGGCCGCAAGGUUAAAACUCAAAGGAAUUGACGGGGACCCGCACAAGCGGUGGAUUAUGUGGAUUAAUUCGAUGCACCGCGAAAAACCUUACCUACCCUUGACAUGUCCUGAAACC